This 70-nucleotide ribosomal RNA is filed under the name Peyritschia deyeuxioides. Its description in RNAcentral is "partial 5.8S ribosomal RNA". Lineage: Eukaryota; Viridiplantae; Streptophyta; Magnoliopsida; Poales; Poaceae. The record is from RNAcentral.
CCAUCGAGUCUUUGAACGCAAGUUGCGCCCGAGGCCAUCCGGCCGAGGGCACGCCUGCCUGGGCGUCACG